AUUACGACAACCCAGCUUAUCAAACCAAGAAUGGAAUUUACUCUGAGGGAUGUGGAUUAGACAAUGUUAUGAUCUCAUGGGCCAUGAUGAUUACAUCCUUACACAAGGAGGGUGCAUACACCUACUUCAUGAACGACGAGGACAAGGAAAAUCUAAAGUGGCUCCAUAUUUUCAACAAAUAUGAUUUAUACACUAAGAGCAAAGUUCUUGUUGAUGUUGAAGCAGUGAAGCCACACUAUCUUUCCCUCAUUGCGAAAUAUUUCCCUGCCAAGCUGAGAUGGUGAAACGUACAGGAUUUGGAUGCAGCCCUGUGACUUAUGUUAUCUAUUAGAUUAGAUUUUUAGUUAUAAUUAAGAAUUUUGUUCUGUCUUUUCGGUUUAUUAAAUAUCCUCUUCUAUUUUGCCAUAAUUUUAUAAAACAAGUACCUGAAAAAGGGUAAUCUGAGCAUGAAUAUUUUAUGUUAU
Molecule: long non-coding RNA, 464 nt
Organism: Mangifera indica (mango)
Lineage: Eukaryota; Viridiplantae; Streptophyta; Magnoliopsida; Sapindales; Anacardiaceae
Exons: 4
Source: RefSeq, a predicted model, not a curated record